CCUACGGGCGGCAGCAGUGAGGAAUAUUGGUCAAUGGACGCGAGUCUGAACCAGCCAAGCCGCGUGAAGGAAGACGGCCCUAUGGGUUGUAAACUUCUUUUGUACGAGAGUAAACGCAGAUACGCGUAUCUUUCUGAAAGUAUCCUACGAAUAAGGAUCGGCUAACUCCGUGCCAGCAGCCGCGGUAAUACGGAGGAUUCAAGCGUUAUCCGGAUUUAUUGGGUUUAAAGGGUGCGUAGGGGGGCUGAUAAGUUAGCGGUGAAAGCUCGGGGCUCAACGUCUGGAUUGCCUGUGAUACUGGCCGGCUAGAGAGUAGUUGGGGUAGGCGGAAUGCAUGGUGUAGCGGUGAAAUGCUUAGAGAUCAUGCAGAACACCGAUUGCGAAGGCAGCUUACCAAGCUACCACUGACGUUGAGGCACGAAAGUGUGGGGAGCAAACAGGAUUAGAUACCCCUGUAGUC
RNAcentral lists this ribosomal RNA (460 nucleotides) under uncultured bacterium. Its description in RNAcentral is "partial 16S ribosomal RNA". It matches the Rfam family "Bacterial small subunit ribosomal RNA", at positions 338 to 795 of the family's 1533-position model. The record is from RNAcentral.